Maylandia zebra (zebra mbuna) is the source of this 601-nucleotide non-coding RNA. The record is from RefSeq and is a predicted model, not a curated record. NCBI's taxonomy places the organism in Eukaryota, Metazoa, Chordata, Actinopteri, Cichliformes, Cichlidae.
CUAAAAGGCCAUGCCAUAUAAACUAUGAGGCAAAAGCUUUGAUUGAAAAAAUCCUAACAACAAAGCCUGGUGGUGAACACAUCAUACAAGAGUAUGCAAAAACCAAAUCUCUGACAGAUGCAACUAGAAGACAGAUGAUAAACAUACUUGCUGCUGAGAUGACAGAAGCACAUGGGACAUCUCCCCCUAAAAGUGUAAGAGUGAUGUAUGCGCAGGGGAUUGUUGCUCUGUUUCCAUAUCUGGAAGACCCAUAUUCACAACAUGGAUAUAACAUUACUAUGAUCCAGAGAGCGGUUCAGGAUACCUUGCGUGGCGGUUGAAGACAAUUCAAAGAAAAGCUGCAGAGGAAAGAAGUGUCUCACUUUCCAAAUCUCCUAAAAUUGGCGGGCCAGGCCGUGGUCGAUCCAGACCACUCACCACUGAGACAGUGUUAUCAGAUGAGGAUGUAAAAGCAGCUAUUGCUCUUUUGAGACACUCUGCUGAUGAAGACACUAUCCGUGAAAAGAUGAAAGCUACCUUCAUUUAUCGGCAUUCAAUGGUCAGCGAUGAUAAGAAUGCAGCAGAUGUCUUCAUAGUCUUCCCGCGGUUUCUGGACACACCA